This 221-nucleotide long non-coding RNA is filed under the name Lathyrus oleraceus (garden pea). RNAcentral describes it as "Pisum sativum (pea) long non-coding RNA (PSAT_LNC029940)". Lineage: Eukaryota; Viridiplantae; Streptophyta; Magnoliopsida; Fabales; Fabaceae. The record is from RNAcentral.
AAGAAUUCAAUAAUUAUAUUUUUGUGUUUGGCAAGACCUUCGGUCUUGUGCCUAUGUACCAACAUAAAAAUGAGGGAUCAAAACCUCGUAGUUCGUGAUACAAAUUUCAAAAUGGAUGCAUUGCUUUUAAUAAAAAUUAAGUUUGAAAGGCAGAAAGGCCUAAAAAUGGUUUGAAUGAGUUAGUUCUUUUUUUUUUUUGCUUUUUGAAAGUUUAAGUCAAG